GAUCAUGGCUCAGGAUGAACGCUAGCUACAGGCUUAACACAUGCAAGUCGAGGGGCAGCGGGAUUGAAGCUUGCUUCAAUUGCCGGCGACCGGCGCACGGGUGAGUAACGCGUAUCCAACCUUCCGCAUACGUCGGGGAUAGCCUUCUGAAAGGAGAUUAAUACCCGAUGGUAUCAAGAGAUUGCAUGAUAACUUGAUUAAAGAAUUUCGGUAUGCGAUGGGGAUGCGUUCCGG
This 234-nucleotide ribosomal RNA is filed under the name uncultured bacterium. RNAcentral describes it as "partial 16S ribosomal RNA". It matches the Rfam family "Bacterial small subunit ribosomal RNA", at positions 15 to 241 of the family's 1533-position model. The record is from RNAcentral.